This is a long non-coding RNA of Conger conger (European conger), 1200 nucleotides long. RefSeq lists it as uncharacterized. The transcript is spliced from 3 exons. Lineage: Eukaryota; Metazoa; Chordata; Actinopteri; Anguilliformes; Congridae. The record is from RefSeq and is a predicted model, not a curated record.
GUAUCAAAACCCAAUGUCAGUGUCAUUAGUGAUGAAUAUCCCUGCAAGUUAAUGUGCACUGUGGAGAGAGGGACAGACGCGACCCUGACCUGGUACAGAGGGGAUGAGGAGAAACCCUACAAUAGCUCCCCUGUUCACAGUGCCCCAGAUCUGUAUCUACCUCAGACUGUGGAGAGGAGCGGUACCUACACCUGUGAGGCGAAGAACUCUGUCAAUACUAAUAGAUCAGACCCACUGACUGUAGGAGACCACUGCACAGGUGGAGCUGCAGGCAGCUGGCAGACGGAGGGCUGUAGAGUGUGGAGCCUGGCUCUGGGACUUGUUGUGACGCUGCACAGUCUUCUGGUCUAAACCUGAUGAGUCAGAGCUGCAGAGGGCCCAGCAGGUUUCUGUUCUCCUGUCAUCCUGUCAUCCUGUCAUCCUCCACUUCAUGGGUCUAACUCUGUCCUGGGGGGCCCCCGUGUCUGCUGCCUGUCCCCUCUGUCUGUUCCCCCCCUGUGUCCACUGCACCCUCUCUAUCUGCCAGUGAGACCCUUCAAUCUCAGAUAACCGUCACACGAUAAAAGACAAUUUCACUGUCAUGGAAUUUCAUUUUUCUGAACUUCUUAAACUGUUGCUGAUAGAACUCUGUUUAUUCCAUGUGCUCCUUACCUUCUGAAGCUGGGUCUACUGCAGCUCAGUGUCUCUGUCCACACCUUCUGAAGCUGUGUACUCCAGCUCAGAGUCUCUCUGUGUCCACACCUUCUGAAGCUGUGUACUCCAGCUCAGUGAGUGUCUUUCUCUGUCAACAUUGAUGUGAAAUCCUGCUGUUUCAUUGCCAUUUUAAUUCAACGUUACUCAUGUUAACUGCCUUUUUAUGGUUUAAUUCUGUCAUAUCACUUGUUCAGUUUAAUUUACUUCAGUGUCAUAUCGGUGCGGUUCAGUUUAUAGUUUAAUUCAGUUUUGUAUCCGUUUGUUCAGUUUAUUGUGUAAUUCAGUGUCAUGUCUCUGUCUCUUAUCUGUCUCUCAGGUGUUUAACAUUCAGAGUGGGGAUUCCUUAAUGCUACUGAAUUGUAUUACGUAUUUUAAGGAACAAAUUGAAACAUUUCUGUUGUGUCUGUGAAUUAUUUUCAGUGAUUAUGGGCUCCUAUUCCACAUAUGACACUGAAUUGUUGCAUUUAUAACUGACUCAUGUUCAAAUAAAAAUAUAUUUCUGAAUGG